RNAcentral lists this non-coding RNA (423 nucleotides) under Triticum urartu. Its description in RNAcentral is "Bacterial small subunit ribosomal RNA". It matches the Rfam family "Bacterial small subunit ribosomal RNA", at positions 63 to 537 of the family's 1533-position model. Lineage: Eukaryota; Viridiplantae; Streptophyta; Magnoliopsida; Poales; Poaceae. The record is from Rfam by way of RNAcentral.
CGGCUUUGACCUAACGGCCUCCGUUUGCUGGAAUUAAUCAGAGUAGUUGAGAACAAAGUGACGAACGGAUGCGUAAUGCGUGGGAAUCUGCCGAAUAGUUUGGGCCGAAUCCUGAAAAAAGUUCAAAGCGCUGUUCGAUGAGCCUGCGUAGUAUUAGUUUGUUGGUUAGGUAGGCUAGCCAAGCUAAUGAUGCUUAGCUGGUCUUUUUGAAUGAUUAGCCACACUGGGACUGAGACAUGACCCAGACUCCCAUGGGGGAUAGCAGAGGGGAAUCUUGGACAAUGGGCGAAAGCCUGAUCCAGUAAUAUCGCGUGAGUGAAGAAGGUCAAUGCUCCUUGUAAAGCUCUUACGUUGAGUGCGCAAUCAUGAGUGAAGAAGCCCCGGCUAAUUCCGUGCCCGCAGCAACGCUAAGACAAGGGGUGG